CAAAUGAAUUGACGGGGGCCCGCACAAGCGGUGGAGCAUGUGGUUUAAUUCGAUGCAACGCGAAGAACCUUACCUGGUCUUGACAUCCACAGAACUUAGCAGAGAUGCUUUGGUGCCUUCGGGAACUGUGAGACAGGUGCUGCAUGGCUGUCGUCAGCUCGUGUUGUGAAAUGUUGGGUUAAGUCCCGCAACGAGCGCAACCCUUAUCCUUUGUUGCCAGCGGUCCGGCCGGGAACUCAAAGGAGACUGCCAGUGAUAAACUGGAGGAAGGUGGGGAUGACGUCAAGUCAUCAUGGCCCUUACGACCAGGGCUACACACGUGCUACAA
This 328-nucleotide ribosomal RNA is filed under the name Klebsiella pneumoniae. RNAcentral describes it as "bacterial SSU rRNA". It matches the Rfam family "Bacterial small subunit ribosomal RNA", at positions 902 to 1230 of the family's 1533-position model. Lineage: Bacteria; Pseudomonadati; Pseudomonadota; Gammaproteobacteria; Enterobacterales; Enterobacteriaceae. The record is from RNAcentral.